CGCCAGACUCCUACGGGAGGCAGCAGUGGGGAAUAUUGCACAAUGGGGGAAACCCUGAUGCAGCGACGCCGCGUGAGUGAAGAAGUAUUUCGGUAUGUAAAGCUCUAUCAGCAGGAAAGAAAAUGACGGUACCUGACUAAGAAGCCCCGGCUAACUACGUGCCAGCAGCCGCGGUAAUACGUAGGGGGCAAGCGUCAUCCGGAAUUACUGGGUGUAAGGGGAGCGUAGACGGUGAAGUAAGUCUGGAGUGAAAGGCGGGGGCCCAACCCCCGGACUGCUCUGGAAACUAUUUGACUGGAGUGCAGGAGAGGUAAGCGGAAUUCCUAGUGUAGCGGUGAAAUGCGUAGAUAUUAGGAGGAACACCAGUGGCGAAGGCGGCUUACUGGACUGUAACUGACGUUGAGGCUCGAAAGCGUGGGGAGUAAACAGGAUUAGAUACCCCGGUA
This 446-nucleotide ribosomal RNA is filed under the name uncultured bacterium. RNAcentral's name for it is "bacterial SSU rRNA". It matches the Rfam family "Bacterial small subunit ribosomal RNA", at positions 329 to 792 of the family's 1533-position model. The record is from RNAcentral.